Rattus norvegicus (Norway rat) is the source of this 13159-nucleotide non-coding RNA. The record is from RefSeq and is a predicted model, not a curated record. NCBI's taxonomy places the organism in Eukaryota, Metazoa, Chordata, Mammalia, Rodentia, Muridae.
AUCAACCCCACUCACACCUUUCUUCCACCCUCCCACGCAUGGCUCAGGUCUACUGUCUCGCAAGAGGUGAUGCUUAGAUUCUGUGUGUGUCCUCCACAGCUCUGCCUUUCUCUCGACGGCUGAUGCAUGCUGGGAGCUGGUACACUGGACUCUCUUUUCUGGGAGAAUGGAGUCUGCCUCAAAGAUUGCCAGUCCCUCUGUCUUUGUGUGCUGCUGAGGUUGUGGUGUGUAAAUCUGGGGCAGCAGGGCAGAUGCCUGUCACCAAGACAACGCAGAGUAAGAAGCAGGGACCCGCCCAGUGGAUCCUUUUUAAUCUGUUUCCUUGCUUUGACUCUUCCUCAGGUCUCACUGUGUUCCUGAAACGGAGCUUUACGACUUACGUAAUUCCUGCGUCUGCCCAUUUCACCGGGUGUCAUCUCGUGCAGCCCAGUGUUAUCUUCGCUAUUUCAGGGCUGGAGCGAUGGCUCAGUGGUUAGAGCAUGUGUUACUCCUUCAGAGGACCAGAGUUCAGUUUCAUCUGAGCGUGGAUUUAAGGGGUGUACCAGACAAGGAAGUCGUGUAGCCGGGGAGAUGACAAAGCCACAGAUCACCAGGAGAAAGGCUGAACUCGCACAGUUUGCAGAGUUUCAGUUGCCCACAGCCUACAAGCAGGGACAAGAGAGGGCAAGAUUUUACAGGACUGUGAGGAGGAGCUACAUCAAAAGGCCAAGGCCACCGCCUGUAUUGUCCGUUUCCGAGGCCUCAGUGUGUGGGGAGUGGUGCUUGCGGCAAAGCUCUGUGCUGCUGUGUUUGAGUCUGGGAAGUCAGGUCAGAGGCGAGCGUGCUUCCUGUGCAUUUUAUAUUUGUUUGCUUAUCGAGACAGAAUCUCACGUGGUCCAAGAUGGCCUCAAAUUCUUUGCGUAAGAGGGAGCACUAGAGAGGGGUCUAGCUCUAGUGGAUCAAUGCCUUUAGCCUUAGUGAGUGUCUAUAGUCACCUCUCUCUCUCUCUCUCUCUCUCUCUCUCUCUCUCUCUCACACACACACACACACAGACACCCACACAGACACACACACAGACUCACACACACAGACUCACACACACAGACACAUAACAGACUCACACAAACAGACUCAUACAGACACACAGAGACACACACACAGACUCACACACACAGACUCACACACACAGACACAUAACAGACUCACACAAACAGACUCACACAGACACACACAGACACACAGAGACACACACACAGACACACACAGAGAGAGGCACAAACACAGACACACACACAGACAUAAACACAGAGAGACACAGACACACACACACAGAAACACACAGAGACACACACAGACACACACAAACAGACUUAUACAGACACACACAGACACACACAGACACACACACAGACUCACACACACAGAAACACACACAGACUCACACAAACAGACUCACACAGACACACACAGACAUACACAGACACACACACAGAUACACACAGAGAGAGGCACAAACACAGACACACACACAGACAAACACAGAGAGACACACAGACACACACACACAGAAACACACAGAGACACACACAGACACACACACACAGACACACAGAGACACACACAGAGAGAGACACAUACAGAGACACACACAGACACACACAGACUCACACACACACACACGCACACACGCACAAACACACACUCUUACAAACUCUAUAGCUGGAGCAGGCCUUGAACUCCUAAUUCUGCCGCUUUUACCUCCCUGAGGGCUACCAUCCCAAGUAACAAGACAUUCCUUUUGCUGUUGUUAUUGUUUAGAUAAGGUCUUAUGUAGGUAGCCCAGGAUGGCCCUGAAGUUUAUAUGUAUCCAAGGACAACGCCCUUCAAAUUCUGGUCCCCCUGCCUCCGCCUCCUAAGUGCUGGGAUUUCAGGCAAGCACUCCCAUGCCUGUUUUAUGUGGAGCUAGGAAUGGAUCCCAGGGUCUCGAGCAGGGUAGACAAGUGCUCCCCGAGCUGAGCCCCAGCAUCUAUCAUGGGGUUCGUCCUAGUCCAAGCCCGUUUACGUUCUCUGCCUCCUUUCCCCUUUGUCUUCCAGAACACCGGUUACUCAUGCAUCCUCAGCGGCAAAGUCCUCACUCCACACCUUGUGCUGUGAGGAGUUUCCACGCGCAAUCGCUGUGUUUCCCGGCGUAAUAUUAAGCUAAGUGGAGAGACGUGGGGUUCAUUUGCUCUACCUCCAUCCUCGUCACCCAACAGAGGAGCAAAGUUUGUGUGUGAAGCACAUGAAUGGAGAACCAGAAGAAGCCAGAAGAGGGCAUCAAAUCCCCUGUGAGCUGCCGUGUGGGCGCUGGGAGUGGAGCCUGUGUCCUUUUUUUUUUUUUUUUUUUAAAGAUUUAUUUAUUUUAUGUGACUACACUGUCACUGUCUUCAGAGACACCAGAAGAGGGCAUCUGAUCUCAUUACAGAUGGUUGUGAGCCACCAUGUGGUUGCUGGGAAUUGAACUCAGGACCUCUGGAAGAGCAGUCAGUGCUCCUAACCACUGAGCCAUCCCUCCAGCCCCGGAGCCUGUGUCCUUAACCAGUGUUUGAAAAGUUUUUAAGGAUCUCACUAUGUAGCUCUGGGUGUCCUGGAACUCACUAUGUAGACCAGGCUAGCCUCUAACUCACAGAGAUCUGUCUGCCUCUGCCUCUGAGUGCUGGAAUUAAAGUUGUGAGCCACUAUGCCUGGCCAGGACUUGAAAAUCUUUAAGGAAAGGAUAAAGCUUCGGGUUAUCUGCCUGUUUAUCUAUCAUUCAAUCUAUCCACUCUAUCUAUCCAUCUAUCUAUCUAUCCACUCUAUCUAUCCAUCUAUCUAUCUAUCUAUCUAUCAUUCUAUCUAUCCACUCUAUCUAUCUAUCAUUCUAUCCAUCCACUCUAUCUAUCUAUCUUAUCUAUCUACCCACCCUAUCUAUCUAUCUAUCUAUCUAUCUAUCUAUCUAUCUAUCUUAUCUAUCUACCCACCCUAUCUAUCUAUCUAUCUAUCUAUCUAUCUAUCUAUCUAUCUAUCAUUCUAUCCUAUCUAUCUUUCUUUCUUUCUCUCUCUUCUUUCUUUCUUUCUUUCUUUCUUUCUUUCUUUCUUUCUUUCUCUCUUUCCUUCUUUCUUUCUAUCCAGCUGUGGUAUGGUUUUCUUUCUUAUGAGAAAGAAUUCUAAGGUAAUAUAUUAGGAAAGAAAAUGUUUCUAUGUUUUGGUUAACAAAGUAGAAUUUAUUUACAAUUAAUGUAAUUUAAAAAAUUAUGGGGCUGGAGAGAUGGCUCAGUGAUUAAGAGCACUGACUGCUCUUCCAGAGGUCCUGAGUUCAAAUCCCAGCAACCACAUGGUGGCUCACAACCAUCUAUAAUGGGAUCGGAUGCCCUCUUCUGGUGUGUCUGAAGAGAGCGACAGUGUCCUCACAUAAAAUAGAUAAAUAAAUUUUUAAAAAAUAAAUUAUGGUGGGCAUAGUGGGUCAUGACUAUAAUCCCAGCACUUGGGAAGUAGAGGCAGGAGGAUGAGGAAUUCAAGUCCCUCCUUAGUCUGUUAUCAUCAAAGUGUCUCAAGAAAACCCCAAACUCCUUGGUUAUUUAAUGUGUGUGUGUGUGUGUGUGUGUGUGUGUGUGUGUGUGUGUGUGUGUCGGUCAGAGGACAACUCAUAGUGGUCAGUUCUCUCCUUUAACUCUGUGGGUUCUGUGGAUCAAACUCGGUAGUCAAGUUUGGCAGGAGCCGCCUUUUCUGGUGAAUCACACAGAUGACCUUACAGUCUAAAGUUUAGACCUUAAUACGGUUUGACCUUGGCUGGGCUUGGUGGCUCCUGCUUUUUUUUUUUUUUUUUUUUUUUGGUUCUUUUUUUCAGAGCUGGGGAUUGAACCCAGGGCCUUGCGCUUCCUAGGCAAGCGCUCUACCACUGAACUAAAUCCCCAACCCUGGUGGCUCUGGCUCGUGCUUUUAACCUCAGCACUCAGGGGGAGGAUACAGAGGCGUGAACGUGCAGCUCGCUGUGAGUUUCAGGGCUAGCCAGGGCUACAUAGUGAGAUCCUGGCUAAACAAACAAACAAACAAAUAAUACGUAAUUAUUUGAAAUGUCACCAUAAAUGUAAACGAAGGCAGGUGGGAAGCCCUGGGCUUCAUCCUCAGCACCACAGAAACCAAGCACUUACACCUGCAAUCCCAGCACUUGGGAGGUGGGGGCAGGGCCUGCAGGAGUUCCAGCUCACCUGUGGCUAUGUAGCGGUUCAAGGUGUCUCGGGAGAAAGAAAGUACUCUCUGGAACUCACUGUCCUCCUUUCUUUUCUUUUCUUUUCUUUUCUUUUCUUUUCUUUUCUCUUCUUUUCUUUCUUUCUUUUUUUUUUUUUUUUUCGGAGCUGGGGGCCGAACCCAGGGCCUUGCGCUUGCUAGGCAAGCGCUCUACCACUGAGCUAAAUCCCCAACCCCAUCACUGUCCUCUUAAACUUGAACUUUGAACUUGAGUCGUCCCAGACUGAAGAGAGGGAGCAGGCAGGACUCGUGAGCCUCUCAUCUGUGUAAUCUAGUAAGCAACUCGGCCUCACAGAUUGGAGUCUGUGGAGGAAAUCAAAAUGCCCAAACUUCUUUUGCCUUUUUAAAAAAAUUUCUAUGUGUGUAUGUCAUGCAUGUGUGUGUAUGAUACAUUGUGUGAUGCAUGUGUGUAUCAUGCAUAUGUGUGUAUGUAUGAUGCAUGUGUGAUACAUGUGUGUGAUGUAUGUAUGUAUCAUGUAUGCAUAUGUGUGAUGUAUGUGUGUACCAUGCAUGUGUGUGUAUGAUGCAUGUGGAUGUAUGAUACAUGUGUGUGAUGCAUGUGUGUAAUACAUGUGUGUGAUGAAUGUGUGUAUCAUGCAUGCAUGUGUGUGCAUGCAUGUGUGUGUAUGAUGUGUGUGUGUAUGUGUGUGUGUGUGAUAUGCAUGUGCGUGUAUGAGUGUCUGCAAGUUUGGGAGCAUGCAUGAGGUGGGUGUGCAUGCCUGAGGGUGCAUGUGCUUGUAGAGAGGCUGACUGGUGAUUCUAUGUGGCUCUUCCUCCUUGUUCAGUGAAGCAGGAUCACUCAGUCAGGUGCACACCUCAUCUCCAUGGCUAUUCUUGCUAACCAGUUUGCUCUGGGGAAUCCCCUGUCUCAGCCUUUCCCCACAGUGGGAAGGCUCCACUGUGCCCUCCUGGUCUCCUGGGGAUCUGAACUCAGAUCCUUGACACACUCAGCAACACUCGGUCCUCGAAAGCUGACUUGGCCGAUGACUGGAUGAAGAAAGGACAGAAAUGCUGUGUCCUGGUGGGCCAAGCUGGCUCUGACGGGGCAGCACCAACUAAGUAGCAGUGGGACCCUCACACCUCCUCAGGGCCUUCACAUGCACACCAUGAGGAGAAGGGGUCAGUUGGGGAGCUCUGUAUAGAGGGGCAGUUUCAGGCUGUAAAUGUCUGAGGAGGGGCUUAGGCCAUGUUUUCAAUACACUGUCAGCAUUUGAACAGGGGCCAGAGGAAGGCUUUGCCAACUCCCAUGAGUCUGGGCCACUGGGUCCCUGUGGAUAACACACACUUACCGAAGACUUCGCCUGGUCCUUACGCAUUCACAAGGCUGACUGGGCUCCCCGCAGCUUCCACACAAGCACUUUAGCCACUGAAACAUUUUCCUUAGCUGCAUACCAACUUCGUUGUCUUCGUUGCUACCUAAGAGCCCACCGCAGUGAGGGUCUGGGUUUCUUUAAAAACCCAGGGAUGUCAUGUAAACGUGUUUUUGUUUCAAUCCCAGGUGAGGGAUCUGGGGCUGCUUCCUUCAGACUGUCCUCGGCAGCUCUGGAGAGGGUAUAAACGCCACAGCCCCGAGAAGGCUGUGUGUGUGUGUGUGUGUGUGUGUGUGUGUGUGUGUGUGUUCUGAAGAAGGAGGCACGGCUGUUCCUCCCGCUGCUUCCCGUUCCUGGUCUUGCUGUUGUUAGUGGUCAAGAGAAAAGAGACAGGAAGAAGUUGGAGAUAUCCUGUGGAGAUGAACAUUGGACUUGCCUUAAGGAACUCAGUGCCCCUAGUCAACAGGAAAUAGUUUAAGAGGUAUAUGCUCCCUUUUCCCUCUACCCUUCUUUCCCUUUUACCUGAUAUUGGGGUGUUAGAAGGGAUAAGGACUGAAAGGGAGGUAGGAAGGUGGAGAUAAAAGAACCCAAAUAAAGUAGCUAAAACAAAACAAAACAACAGUGCCAACACACCACGACCAAGGACAUUUAUAAGGAAAUUUAAUUGGGCUCAGAGUUUCAGAGGGGUUAGAGCACAGGGAAGAGCAAAGGCAGGGUAACAGGGACAGCUGAGAGACCUGAGAACAUGGUAGGAAUAAUGUCAGUCCUCCAAAACCCGUCUCUAGUGACACACUUCCUCCAACAAGCCACACCUCCCCAUCCUCCCAAAACAGUUCCACUAAGAGGGGACCAAGCAUUCAAACAUGAGCCUAUGGGAGCCAUUCUCAUUCAAACCCUGAUUUCUGCUCCUCAUCUGGUUUCUGGGAGAAAAGUCAGAUUGAGUUGACUUUAGAGAAAAUACUGCCUUCUAACCCAGGGCAAGAAAUAUACCUAUAUGAUAUUUGUAAUAUAUAUAGUCAAAUAUAUUUCUGUGUCUAUAUGACCCCUCUCGUACCUAGCACAGAAGACCCAUGCUCAAUGGACCCCUUCUUCUCCCAGAUCCAAGGGCUUAUCUUAAGGUUUUCACCUCAGGGCUUUCCAUUCUUUCAUGUCACAAUUGAGCUCUGAGUGAUUUUUCUCCGUGAGGGAUUCACAGGCUCUGAGUGGCCUAAUGCCAGCAUUCUGAUUCACAGCUUCCUGUGUGGGGUCUGACUUCCCCAGAAGGUCCCCGUGGACCUCCUCUUCUUCCUGCUGACUCAGGGAAGUGUUAUGCUUCCCCCUCCACCCCCAGCGUCCCAGGAGAAGAAAGCCAGACUCAGCAAAGCCAAGACCUGCAGCUCUGCAGGGUGAGACGCUUACAUGUGGACCAGCUGGGGAUGUUCCUUGCAGCUCCCUCGUGGGUGUCAUUGGAGUCCCUUGCUUUCUGUAAUAAUAAGGUCAGGUGGGGACAUACCUAAUGCUUCCAAGCUUUCUGAGGGCUCCAGGCCCCAGUCCCAGGAGUCCCUUCCACCCGAGUCUCACUGAAUCUCAAGCUUGCAGGGAGACUGGGCUUCCCACAAACCUUCCUAAGAAGGCCUCUGGGGGCCCAACUUUAUUAUGCUAUUAUUAUAAUUAAUUGGGGUUCAAUUUGCAUAUAACAAACUGCAAAGGUCAUAAUAAGUUUUAUGAGUUUCAACAAAAGUCUAAAUUUGUAUAACCACUGGCCCAUUGUCAUAGAACAUUUCAGCACAGCAGUAAAUCCCCUGCCUCUCCCAAUAGAAUCCCUCCCUUCCUGAGCCCUUCCACCAUGGUUAAGUUUAAAUGUUCUAGAGGAUAUUAGAAAUGGAAUCAGAUGGGCUGGAGAGAUGGCUCAGUGGUUAAGAGCACUGACUGCUCUCCCAGAGGUCCUGAGUUCAAGUCCCAGCAACUGCAUGGUGGCUCACACCAUCUGUAAUGGGAUCUGACGCCCUCUUCUGGUGUGUCUGAAGACAGUUAUAGUGUACUGUAAUACAUAAAAUAAAUAAAUCUUUAAAAAAAGAGAAAGAAAUGAAAUUGGACAAAAAGCUCAUUUUGGGGUCUGGCUUCUUUCAAUAUAGUAAUAUUUCUGAGAUAUCUCUUUUUUUCCUUAAAAUGUUUUUUGAAGCAGUUUUUUUGUUUUGUUUUGUUUUUUAAUGUAGCCCUAGUUGUCCUGGAACUCACUCUGUAGACCAGGCUGGCCUUAAACUCAGAGAUCCACCUGCCUCUGCCUCCUGAGUCCUGUGAUUAAAGGCCUGUGCCACCAGGCUUAGCUGGCUUUUUCUUAAGAAGGAGAAUCAGCUCCCUUGGGCCUGGAGUUGCAGGCAGUUGUGAGCUGUCCUGUAGAUUUGGGAAGAGAAAGAACGUAGGUCGUCCAGCAGAGCAGCCCCUGUGCUCUUAACCACUGAGCCAUCUCUCCAGCAUGGUCUUUGUUUUGUUUUUAUGAGACAGGGUAAAAAAUAGACAAGUUAGGCCUCAACCUUGUCAUCCCCCUGCCUCCGCUUCUUCGGUACUUUGAGGGUGAGAGUCCACUCCACACUGUAUAUUCUCCACAAGGCUGCUGUGUGUCUGAGCCUUCAUGUGUCCUGGUCACCAGACUGUGAGGUCAAGGACGUCAUGAGAGCAUCUCCCAUCAUUUCCCUCCGGCUCCUGCCCCGGUGGCAGAGCUUCCUGCUGGUUCUCUGGGCCCCACAUACUCCUGACUUUGGUUUUCACUGUGUCUUCCAACUGUCCACAAACCAUUCUCUCUACUUCCCCAGGUCCUGACUGAGAGGCUGCAACUUUACACAGAUCUCUCUGGACCCUAAGGACUGAAAAAGCAGAUUCCCCCAACACACACACACACACACACACACACACACACACACACACACACACAUACACAUUCACCCCCCACCCCCACCCCCCCGCCCUAUUCGGUCAUAUGACGGCUCAGCCUCUGCUUGUGUCUUUAAAUACUUUACAGAGAUGUAACCUACGCCUUACCAACCCAUGCCCACACAGUAAACCAUUCUGGUUUCCAGCUUACUCACAAUUACAUAAACUAACACCACAGUCAAUCUUAGACCAUCGUAUCACCCUAAAGAGAAACCCCAAACCUUCAGACGCUACCUCUUUCUCCUUGUCUCCGUGUUUCCUCGCCUUCAGGGGGUGCUUACCUAAUUUCUUCUUUUGUACAUCGGUCAAUCUAGGACAUUCUACAUAAAUGUCAUAAUACAGGAAUUGGGCCUUCAGCCUGGCUUUGUCCGAUUGAGGUUGUGUUUUCAAGUUAACCUUGUUUUGGUGGGUAUCGAUUAUUCAUCCCAUUGAUUGAUUGGCUUGUUCGGACAGGCUGUUGUGUAGUCUGGGCUGGCCUCAAACUCUCUGUGCAGCCACGGGAUGACCUUUGUUAUUUUCUUUGUCAACCUGACAUGAGCUAGAGUCAUCUGGGAAGAAGAAACUUUAAUUGAAGGAUUACCUCCUGUGGGGCAUUUCCUUGGUUAAUGAUUGAUGCCGGAUGGUCCAGCCCACUGUGGGCGGUACCACUCCUAGGAAACCUAGGUAGGCAGUUCUGGGUCUAUAAUAAAACAGACUGCAGGGGUUGGGGAUUUAGCUCAGCGGUAGACUGCUUGCCUAGCAAGCGCAAGGUCCUGGGUUCGGUCCCCAGCUCCAAAAAAAAAAAAAAAAAAAAAGAAACCAGACUGCAAACUCACUCAGCCCCAGUCCCAUCAUCCACCCUUCCUCCCUCUGUUCAUGGGCCAAUUCUAGAGUUCUACGUAAAUGUAACAACACAAUAUCUGGGCCUUUGACCGGGCUUUGCCCAGUUGAUGCAGUGUUUUCUGAUUUUAACCUUGUUAUCUCUUCCGUGCACAGACAACUUUUUCGUUCUGUCUCACUGUUCAUCCGUCAUGGGCGCUGGGUGGUUUCCGCCUUCUGACAGUUCUCAGUCAUGCUGCUGUUCCACCGACCCACAAACCCUUCUCUGCUUUCGUUUCUUGUGAGGAUUUAGAUAUGAGUGGAUUUCCUAGGGGGUACGGCUUAUUGGUUUGCUUUUUUUCUAUUGUUAUGAAAUACUGUCUCAGGGUUUUAUUGCUGUGAAGAGACACCAUGACCAAGGCAACUCUUACAAAGGAAAACAUUUAAUUUGGGGGCAGGCUUUCAGAUUCAGAGGUUCAGCCCAUUAUGGUCAUGGCAGGAAACAUGGCAGUGUGCAGGCAGGUAUGGCGCUGGAGGAGCUGGGAACUCCACAUCCUGAUCCAAAGGCAGCAGAAGGAAACUGUAGCUUGAUCCAAAGGCAGCAGAAGGAAACUGUAGCUUGAGCUCAGGAGACCUCAAAGCCCGCCCCCACAGUGACGCACUUCCUCCAACAAGGCCACACCCACUCUGACAAGGCCACACCUCCCAAUACUGCCACUCCCUAUGGACCAAGCAUUAAACACAGUGGUGUAUGGGGGCCAUACCUAUUCAAACCACUAAUUCCCAAGGCAGGCUACUGCUAUAAAGAAAAGGAGUUUGUUUGGCUCACGGUUUUGAAAUUCCAAGAGCACGGAACCAACACUGGAUGGGCCCCAGUUGGGUCGUUUUUGUGGCGCAAGCACAGUAUAGAGAAGAGGUCCGGUUGCCCAGUGGAAGCCACAGAGAGGCUGGUGUCUCACAGCCCCUUCUGAGGGGAGCACACUGAUGGGCUCCGUUAGGCUCUGUCCACCCUUCACAGCCUCCCGCCGCUGAUGAUGAAAUGAAACAACUCAAACUAGAUUAGAUUAUACACUAAAGGCAAGUUUAUUGAGAAGCUGCUCUUCGGUGGGCGAGUUCACUGGCCCCAAGGGCCAAGGUCAGGUAAGUCACCAAGGGGAAAGGGAAUGGGGGCAAUAGAGUAGGGAAAGAGAGAGAGAGAGAGAGAGAGAGAGAGAGAGAGAGAGAGAGAGAGAGAGAGAGCACUUGCAGAGAGAGAAGAGAAGGGGGCCGGCAAAAUGUCUGGAUUAUAUAGGGAAGAGCCUCUGGGGUAAGGGUGGUCCAGCUCCUGGGCUGGGAUCUUCAAGUUGGGGGCAGGGUAUCCCAGGUAGGGACUGAGGGAUGCUGGGAGAGCCUGGAGGCAGGCCUGCUUUGGUAUGUAAAUUUUGUACCUCAGUCCUCUGUCCUGGAGUCCAAAACCAGACAGCUUCUUUCUGCUACCACCGGAGUACCAAGCUUCUAGUACAGGGUGUCACAAUGGCUAAUGACUCCACAUAUAGGCAGAAAUAACCCAUCUACUCUUUAUUUAGAUAGUUUUUUGUUGUUGUUGCUAACGUUUAGUUUUUCUAAACAAUCGUACAUGACAUAGAUCGAAAGCUGUGCAUGUGAUCUUGUUUGACAUAGAUAUCUCCACUCAUAAGUGUCUGUUCGAUUAGCUUUUACACAGAUGAGAGUUACAGCACAUCCAGGCCUUGGUGACUCUCUUGGUUGUGGAGUGAUCCACUCUGGCUGCCUUUCAAGCCGACAUCUUAGGCUGACUCAUUCUUUAUAAGGCUCUGUGCUAUACCACAGAAAGGACUUCCAGAAUUUAUUCAACAAUGUCCUAUUGUGGAGCAUCGGGGACCUCCAGAUUUGGGUCAUUAAACAAACAAAAAGCAAGGAAACAAACCCAUGCAGAUAGAUAAAGGUAGUUCCUGCAGAUAGAUAAGGGUAGUUCCUUCUGGUAGUGAGAGCCAGCAGGGGUCGGGGUGGCUGAACUGGGGUAGGAGGUGGGGGGGAUCAGAAAGCAGCAGGGGUCCUCUGCCGAGCCUCUGGUUAACCCUGCAUCUGCUGAUUCCUGGGAGGCUCCAGAUGGUUCCACAGAGAGGCCAAGGCAGCCCCAGUGGCCUGAGAAGGUUUGGUGGGCUUAGGGGAAGUAGCCGUUAGCCAACCACUGUAGAAAUCUCUCCCACCCUAUGGCCACCAGUAUGGUCACUCUGGUCAGAGCUGUCAAACACUGGCCCUGCUUCAGGGCCUCCACCUGCUUCCACCGCUGGAAAUUCAUGGCUGUGAACACUUGCGGUUUUAAAGGAAGCUCUUACCAGGCUUUUCUGGGAGGAUUUGGUUUUUAUGGAGAAUAAAGGCGAUAGACGGUAUUUGUGAGGUAAUUCUCCACACUAGGGUCUUCGCACCUGAUGCCCUGCGGCCCUCCUAGGAAGGUGCACACACAUUUAACAGCCUGAGGAAUAGACUCAGAUACCAGUAAUGACCCAAGUUCACAUAGCGGAUCAGAGGAUUCGUAGCUGGUUCUAUCAGCCCUUCAACCCCUCCUGGGUUCCUUUCAAUUUUAAUGGAAGUGUAGAUGCUGUUGGAACCCACAGGGCUGCACCCCCGGGGCCCAGUGCAGGCGAGCAUCUGUCGACACAAAUACACCUGGAAGUAGAUGGAGACAAGAGGUUGCCAUAGAAACGAAUCAAGGCAAAGAGGCCCAACGCCAAGGUGACUGAAGGCCAAGACCACUGUGGUCAAGAAUUAGGAAGCAGGUUUUGGUGGUGCACAUCUUUCACACCCGUACUCAGGAGGCAAAGGCUGGAGAGCUUCUGUGAGAUCCAGGCCAGUCUGGUCUACUCCGAGUUUCAGGUUAGCAAGAGACACAUGGAACAAACUUGCCUUAAGUAAAUAAAGACAUAAAAAUUUUAGAAGAGAAUCCAUGACACGUGGCUGGGGAGACAGCUCAGAUCUCUCACUUACUGCAUAUGCAAAUGGACCUGAGGUUUGAACCUGUGCACCCAGGUGUGGUGGUGUGGACCUAAACCCUGGCACUGGGGCAGGAGACAGAGACAGGCUCACUGCGGCUUGCCAGCCACAGACCUAGCAGACAAACACGCUCCAGGUUCAGGAGAAGCCCUGCUCGAAGGGAAUCUUUCUGACAUAUUUUCUCUGACCUCCGCCCCGGCAGAGGCACCCCACACACACACACACACAACACACGCACGCACGAUCUCCCCCCAGAAGGACACAUAGGAGGAAGGACACAUGACCAUCAGCUGUACCACUGAGCCCUUUGCUGGGCUAUGAGCCCUCCAUCAGUAAAAUGGGAUCCAUGAUACUGUUGGUCACCAACUCAGCCAGGCUGGCUGCCAGUGAGCUCUGAGGGGUCUCCGUUCUUCGUUUCCCAAGUCCUGGGAUUUCAAAACAGCGUCACUGGCCUGGCUCUUUAUGUAGGUCAGAGUAGUGACCAGUAACUGAUGACUGCAGUCUCUUACUCCUUUGCAAAACACUGAGAAACCUAUAUCUUUCUGUCUGCCUGUCUGUCUGUCUUUCUUUUUCUUUCUCUUCUUCCUUCUUUUCUUUCUUUCUUUUUUCUUCCUUCUGCUGCUUAAAAAUAUAUUUAUUUUUAUUUUUAGUUUUUUUAUGUGUAUGACUGUUUUGUCUUCAUGUAUGUGCCAAAUGUGUUACUCAUGUCCCAGAGGCCAGAAGAGGACAUGGGAGACCCUGGGACUGGAAUCACAGAUGGUCAUGAGUUGCUGUGUGGGCACUGGGGAUGGAAUCUCCUGUCUACCAGAAGAGCAACGAGUGCUCCUGACUGCUGAACUAGCUGCGCCAUGUUCGGUCUGUGUUUUUUAUUAUCAAUGAGCUGCACUAUAAUUCAUUAAUUCAUU